GACGAACGCUGGCGGCGUGCUUAACACAUGCAAGUCGAACGGAAAGGCCCUGCUUUUGUGGGGUGCUCGAGUGGCGAACGGGUGAGUAACACGUGAGUAACCUGCCCUUGACUUUGGGAUAACUUCAGGAAACUGGGGCUAAUACCGGAUAGGAGCUCCUGCUGCAUGGUGGGGGUUGGAAAGUUUCGGCGGUUGGGGAUGGACUCGCGGCUUAUCAGCUUGUUGGUGGGGUAGUGGCUUACCAAGGCUUUGACGGGUAGCCGGCCUGAGAGGGUGACCGGCCACAUUGGGACUGACAUACGGCCCAGACUCCUACGGGAGGCAGCAGUGGGGAGUAUUGCACAAUGGGCGGAAGCCUUAUGCAGCAACGCCGCGUGCGGGAUGACGGCCUUCGGGUUGUAAACCGCUUUCGCCUGUGACGAAGCGUGAGUGACGGUAAUGGGUAAAGAAGCACCGGCUAACUACGUG
This 468-nucleotide ribosomal RNA is filed under the name uncultured bacterium. RNAcentral describes it as "partial 16S ribosomal RNA". It matches the Rfam family "Bacterial small subunit ribosomal RNA", at positions 28 to 507 of the family's 1533-position model. The record is from RNAcentral.